ACGAAGGGGGCUAGCGUUGUUCGGAAUCACUGGGCGUAAAGGGCGCGUAGGCGGUGCACCAAGUCAGGCGUGAAAGCCCCGGGCUCAACCCGGGAAUGCAUACGAUACUGGCAGGCUGGAGACUGGUAGAGGCUAGCGGAAUUCCUGGUGUAGCGGUGGAAUGCGUAGAUAUCAGGAAGAACACCUGUGGCGAAGGCGGCUAGCUGGGCCAGUUCUGACGCUCAUCCGCGAAAGCGCGGGGAGCAAACAGGA
Molecule: ribosomal RNA, 252 nt
Filed under: uncultured prokaryote
Description: partial 16S ribosomal RNA
Rfam family: Bacterial small subunit ribosomal RNA
Source: RNAcentral